UUAGAAUCAAGAAAAAGGAGCAAGGGCAUUGAGGGGCAGAAUAUUCUCAUCAAAUAAAUGAUUUGGAAGAAGGGAAUCCUAUCCCAGAAAGAGUCAUCAAAAUCCAAUGGCAAGACAAAAGUCAAUAUAACCACAGAUGGGCUGGAAUGCAGUGGAUAAACUUGGUGUCUUUAAUGACUGACCAACUUCUAAGAAUUCCACAAUACCUUCUUCAGCUUUCUUCAUGGUCAUUGGAACAAAUUGUUUUUGUCCAUCUAUUCUGCCAGGGGAAGUUUUCAUGUGCUUAAUGUAUACUUCAUCCUAACUCAUCAGUGAUUUGAAGCCUGUCAGGUAUCUUCAAAACAAUUUAGCACAUCUGCUAAGACAGUUUUCCUUCAAUGUAAUUGCUGCUUUUAUUAUAGCUUCUUGGUGCCACA
Long non-coding RNA from Antechinus flavipes (yellow-footed antechinus), 416 nucleotides. RefSeq lists it as uncharacterized. The transcript has 2 exons. The record is from RefSeq and is a predicted model, not a curated record. NCBI's taxonomy places the organism in Eukaryota, Metazoa, Chordata, Mammalia, Dasyuromorphia, Dasyuridae.